This 253-nucleotide ribosomal RNA is filed under the name uncultured bacterium. RNAcentral's name for it is "partial 16S ribosomal RNA". It matches the Rfam family "Bacterial small subunit ribosomal RNA", at positions 524 to 776 of the family's 1533-position model. The record is from RNAcentral.
UACGUAGGGGGCGAGCGUUGUCCGGAAUCAUUGGGCGUAAAGAGCGUGUAGGCGGCUUGGCAAGUCUGACGUGAAAGCCCGCGGCUCAACCGCGGAUUGUCGUUGGAAACUGCCUCGCUAGAGUCCGGAAGAGGAGAGCGGAAUUCCUGGUGUAGCGGUGGAAUGCGCAGAUAUCAGGAAGAACACCGGUGGCGAAGGCGGAUCUCUGGGCCAUUACUGACGCUGAGGAGCGAAAGCGUGGGGAGCGAACAGG